ACUUUCGUUUGGCAAAACGAAUGGAAGCUAGCAGUGGUGUAGUGCCCAGUGAUGUUCAAAUAUACCUGAGGGGGCACAGAGGACCAGAUCCUGCAAAUCCAGAUGUGUUGUGUAGCCAAAAGGCAACAGAUCGUCUGGCUGCAUAUGCUGAGGCGAUGUCUAGUCAGCACGGAUCGGACUAUGACUGGAGGACCGCACCUAUUGAUCCUCAGGCUAUGUAUGC
Zea mays is the source of this 223-nucleotide long non-coding RNA. RefSeq lists it as uncharacterized. NCBI's taxonomy places the organism in Eukaryota, Viridiplantae, Streptophyta, Magnoliopsida, Poales, Poaceae. The transcript has 3 exons. The record is from RefSeq and is a predicted model, not a curated record.